Triticum aestivum (bread wheat) is the source of this 124-nucleotide non-coding RNA. NCBI's taxonomy places the organism in Eukaryota, Viridiplantae, Streptophyta, Magnoliopsida, Poales, Poaceae. The record is from Rfam.
UAUGUACUCCCUCCGUUCGAAAAUACUUGUCGAAGAAAUGAGUAAAAAUGGGUGUAUCUAGAACUAAAAUGCGUCUAGAUACAUCCAUUUCUCCGACAAGUUUUCCGGAUGCAGGGAGUAUAUC